This is a long non-coding RNA of Rosa chinensis, 880 nucleotides long. RefSeq lists it as uncharacterized. The record is from RefSeq and is a predicted model, not a curated record. NCBI's taxonomy places the organism in Eukaryota, Viridiplantae, Streptophyta, Magnoliopsida, Rosales, Rosaceae. The transcript is spliced from 2 exons.
GGUGAGUUUUAGCGACGAAAUAUCGGUCUUUCAAUUACAUCCUCUUUUUGAGCCUCGGUUUUGCUUCUCUUUUUAAGCAGCUCAAGCCCGUCAAUGCCAUCAGAUCCCAGCCUAUCGUCCGCCUCAUUGUCCAUGUCGAACAAUAACCAAUAACCAAUAAAGAAGCCCAUAUGGGGUUUCUUGAUUGUAAUUGGUGAUAUGCACCAUGUGCUUACCACUUCCGUGAAUGAAAGUAUAGUGCUCUGUUCUCAGAGGGUUUUGGAAGAAGAUAAUGAUGACAACUAGCAGCAACCUGGUUGUGAAAGUUAAGUGGGAGAAGUUUUUUUUUUUUUCCUUUUCUUUUGUCGGAAUAACUUCAUUCAUGGAAAUCGAAGGAUACAAGAGAGAAGAACAGAAAUUAAGGCAUGCAUGACAGGCCGCAAAUGCAAUGAGCUAUUCAGAGAAGCCACAAGUCCCACGGCUAUUUCUGAAUGUCUUCAUACAUGUUAGUUUUCUCUCUUUUCAUCUCUGCUUUUGGGAUAUGAUUUUCAUGUGUUGUGCUCCAUUUUUGUGUCUCUGAUUUUCAUCGUCAGACACUUUUGUGAGGUUUAUUUUCAAUUUGUUCCAUGGAAAACGGCUGGAUGUUUGGUAUUCUUCAUUAGAGUGUAGGGUUUUGUUGGGUGUAUAAGUUUGCUGGAUUUAAUUAAAUAUAGGGGUAUUAUAGGAAAAUUGGCUGGGUGUGGUUAGAGAUUUUUUAAAUUAAUUGGGUGUAAACAUUUUGUUGGGUAUAUUUAGAAAGACUUUUUUUUUCCCCUCUCUCAUAUAAGGAUGUAAUGAUGUAUAUGACAAUAUUAUGGCCUUAAUAGAAGGGUCUACAUCGUGUUGCCCUUAAUUUCCAUAA